This 512-nucleotide unclassified non-coding RNA is filed under the name uncultured Glomus. RNAcentral's name for it is "bacterial SSU rRNA". It matches the Rfam family "Eukaryotic small subunit ribosomal RNA", at positions 569 to 1084 of the family's 1831-position model. Lineage: Eukaryota; Fungi; Glomeromycota; Glomeromycetes; Glomerales; Glomeraceae. The record is from RNAcentral.
AGCAGCCGCGGUAAUUCCAGCUCCAAUAGCGUAUAUUAAAGUUGUUGCAGUUAAAAAGCUCGUAGUUGAAUUUCGGGAUCAAUUAGUCGGUCGUGCCUCUGGUACGUACUGGUUUUAUUGGUUCCUCCCUUCUGACGAAACAUGAUGUCAUUAAUUUGGUGUCGUGGAGAAUCAGGACUGUUACCUUGAAAAAAUUAGAGUGUUUAUAGCAGGCUAACGCUUGAAUACAUUAGCAUGGAAUAAUGAAAUAGGACGUUCGACCCUAUUUUGUUGGUUUCUAGGAUCGACGUAAUGAUUAAUAGGGAUAGUUGGGGGCAUUAGUAUUCAAUUGUCAGAGGUGAAAUUCUUGGAUUUAUUGAAGACUAACUACUGCGAAAGCAUUUGCCAAGGAUGUUUUCAUUAAUCAAGAACGAAAGUUAGGGGAAUCGAAGACGAUCAGAUACCGUCGUAGUUCUGACCAUAAACGAUGUCGACUAGCGAUCCGCGGUCGUUGUUCAUAUGACCUCGCGGGC